This 433-nucleotide ribosomal RNA is filed under the name uncultured bacterium. Its description in RNAcentral is "partial 16S ribosomal RNA". It matches the Rfam family "Bacterial small subunit ribosomal RNA", at positions 29 to 507 of the family's 1533-position model. The record is from RNAcentral.
AACGAACGCUGGCGGCAUGCCUAACACAUGCAAGUCGAACGAGACCUUCGGGUCUAGUGGCGCACGGGUGCGUAACGCGUGGGAACCUGCCCUUAGGUUCGGAAUAACUCCCCGACAGGGGUGCUAAUACCGGAUAAUGUCUUCGGACCAAAGAUUUAUCGCCUUUGGAUGGGCCCGCGUUGGAUUAGCUGGUUGGUAGGGUAAAAGCCUACCAAGGCGACGAUCCAUAGCUGGUCAGAGAGGAUGGUCAGCCACACUGGGACUGAGACACGGCCCAGACUCCUACGGGAGGCAGCAGUGGGGAAUAUUGGACAAUGGGCGAAAGCCUGAUCCAGCAAUGCCGCGUGAGUGAUGAAGGUCUUAGGGUUGUAAAGCUCUUUUACCCGGGAUGAUAAUGACAGUACCGGGAGAAUAAGCUCCGGCUAACUCCGUG